GUGAGGAAUAUUGGUCAAUGGGCGAGAGCCUGAACCAGCCAAAUCGCGUGAAGGAUGAAGGUAUUAUGUAUUGUAAACUUCUUUUAUCGGGGAAUAAAGUGCGGGACGUGUCCCGUUUUGUAUGUACCCGAAGAAUAAGGAUCGGCUAACUCCGUGCCAGCAGCCGCGGUAAUACGGAGGAUCCAAGCGUUAUCCGGAUUUAUUGGGUUUAAAGGGUGCGUAGGCGGACUGUCAAGUAAGCGGUGAAAGUCCAUGGCUCAACCAUGGAAUUGCCGUUGAAACUGUCGGUCUUGAGUGUAGAUGAGGUAGGCGGAAUUCGUAGUGUAGCGGUGAAAUGCUUAGAUAUUACGAAGAACUCCAAUUGCGUAGGCAGCUUACCAGGCUACAACUGACGCUGAGGCACGAAGGUGCGGGGAUCAAACAGGAUUAGAAACCCGGGUAGUCC
This 445-nucleotide ribosomal RNA is filed under the name uncultured bacterium. Its description in RNAcentral is "partial 16S ribosomal RNA". It matches the Rfam family "Bacterial small subunit ribosomal RNA", at positions 354 to 796 of the family's 1533-position model. The record is from RNAcentral.